GAUGUGCCAAUAUAUUAAUAAUUUUUUUUUCGAUUUUCUUUAGUGAAACGAUGUCGUUUCAUUCCCCAUCUUCCGGUCAUCCACCGCAGACCCUCCCCAUCUUCACGUCUCUCAGCCUCUUCAUCGCCAUUCGCCACCACCAAACAUGCCCUUCCCCAAAACGUCCGCAGACAACCAUUUCUUCAGCUCUCUUCCAAGCACCACCACCAAUCCUUCUAAUCCUCAAUCAUCCUCGCCUCCCAAUCCUCAAUCAUCCACAAUCGCCUUGUGUAAAUAAUAAUAAUAAAAAUAAAAAAUC
Molecule: long non-coding RNA, 298 nt
Filed under: Salvia miltiorrhiza (redroot sage)
Lineage: Eukaryota; Viridiplantae; Streptophyta; Magnoliopsida; Lamiales; Lamiaceae
Description: long non-coding RNA (SMIL_LNC000231)
Source: RNAcentral